GGGGCUGUAGCUCAGUGGUAGAGUGCCUGCCUAGCAUGCAUGAGGCACUGGGUUCAAUCCUCUGCACCA
This 69-nucleotide transfer RNA is filed under the name Ictidomys tridecemlineatus (thirteen-lined ground squirrel). Its description in RNAcentral is "Spermophilus tridecemlineatus (thirteen-lined ground squirrel) tRNA". It matches the Rfam family "tRNA". From Rfam's summary of the family: Transfer RNA (tRNA) molecules are approximately 80 nucleotides in length. The record is from Rfam by way of RNAcentral. Lineage: Eukaryota; Metazoa; Chordata; Mammalia; Rodentia; Sciuridae.